UUUAAUAAAAAUUAAAAACGACGGGCAAUAUGAAUAUAUUUUUAAUAAAAUUUAAAUAUAAUAUAUAUUAUAUUUUAAUUUUAAAUCCAAUUUCAUUUUUAUCUUACAACAAAAAAUUCAUAAAUCUAAAAAUAAUGUAUUUAAUUUUAAAUUUAAUUAUAAAAUAUAUUAUGAUUUGAAUUUUUUUUUUCAAUAAAAAUAAAUUUUAUUAAUAUUAUUCUUAAAUUAAUUUAACAACAAUAUAUAAUUAAUAAAACUAAAUAUAUUAUAUUGUGGAUUAUCAAUUAAUAAACAAAAUCCUCUAAUUUUAAAAAAUACUACCAAAUUAUUUAAUUUUUUAUUUAUACAAUAUAAUUAUUAAUAAAUUAUUUUAUAAUUAUUAUAAUA
This 387-nucleotide ribosomal RNA is filed under the name Pseudasphondylia matatabi. Its description in RNAcentral is "partial 12S ribosomal RNA". Lineage: Eukaryota; Metazoa; Arthropoda; Insecta; Diptera; Cecidomyiidae. The record is from RNAcentral.